Terfezia boudieri ATCC MYA-4762 is the source of this 75-nucleotide non-coding RNA. NCBI's taxonomy places the organism in Eukaryota, Fungi, Ascomycota, Pezizomycetes, Pezizales, Pezizaceae. The record is from the annotation of a GenBank genome assembly.
GGUCGUGUGGCUCAGUCGGUAGAGCAUCAUGCUAAAAACGUGAAGGUUGUGAGUUCGAGUCUCACCUCAUGACCA